UGACACAGUGUAGAUGUUGUGGUGGUGGGGGAAGGAAAGGUCCAUCUGGAUUACACAGUGUAGAUGUUGUGGUGGUUGGAAGGAAAGUUCCAUCUGGAUUACAUAGUGUAGAUGUUGUGGUGGUGGGGGAAGGAAAGUUCCAUCUGGAUUACACAGUGUAGAUGUUGUGGUGGUGGGGGAAGGAAAGUUCCAUCUGGAUUACAUAGUGUAGAUGUUGUGGUGGUGGGAAGGAAAGGUCCAUCUGGAUUACACAGUGUAGAUGUUGUGGUGGUGGGGGAAGGAAAGUUCCAUCUGGAUUACACAGUGUAGAUGUUGUGGUGGUGGGGGAAGGAAAGUUCCAUCUGGAUUACAUAGUGUAGAUGUUGUGGUGGUGGGGGAAGGAAAGUUCCAUCUGGAUGACACAGUGUAGAUGUUGUGGUGGUGGGGGAAGGAAAGGUCCAUCUGGAUGACACAGUGUAGAUGUUGUGGUGGUGGGGGAAGGAAAGUUCCAUCUGGAUGACACAGUGUAGAUGUUGUGGUGGUGGGAAGGAAAGUUCCACCUGGAUUACAUAGUGUAGAUGUUGUGGUGGUGGGGGAAGGAAAGGUCCAUCUGGAUGACACAGUGUAGAUGUUGUGGUGGUGGGGGAAGGAAAGUUCCAUCUGGAUGACACAGUGUAGAUGUUGUGGUGGUGGGGGAAGGAAAGUUCCAUCUGGAUUACAUAGUGUAGAUGUUGUGGUGGUGGGGGAAGGAAAGUUCCAUCUGGAUGACACAGUGUAGAUGUUGUGGUGGUGGGGGAAGGAAAGUUCCAUCUGGAUGACACAGUGUAGAUGUUGUGGUGGUGGGAAGGAAAGUUCCAUCUGGAUGACACAGUGUAGAUGUUGUGGUGGUGGGGGAAGGAAAGGUCCAUCUGGAUGACACAGUGUAGAUGUUGUGGUGGUGGGGGAAGGAAAGUUCCAUCUGGAUGACACAGUGUAGAUGUUGUGGUGGUGGGGGAAGGAAAGUUCCAUCUGGAUGACACAGUGAAGAUGUUGUGGUGGUGGGAAGGAAAGGUCCAUCUGGAUGACACAGUGUAGAUGUUGUGGUGGUGGGGGAAGGAAAGGUCCAUCUGGAUGACACAGUGUAGAUGUUGUGGUGGUGGGGGAAGGAAAGCUCCAUCUGGAUGACACAGUGUAGAUGUUGUGGUGGUGGGGGAAGGAAAGGUCCAUCUGGAUGACACAGUGUAGAUGUUGUGGUGGUGGGGGAAGGAAAGUUCCAUCUGGAUGACACAGUGUAGAUGUUGUGGUGGUGGGGGAAGGAAAGUUCCAUCUGGAUGACACAGUGUAGAUGUUGUGGUGGUGGGGAAGGAAAGGUCCAUCUGGAUUACAAG
RNAcentral lists this long non-coding RNA (1346 nucleotides) under Salmo salar (Atlantic salmon). RNAcentral's name for it is "lncRNA (ENSSSAG00000100479.1)". The record is from RNAcentral. Lineage: Eukaryota; Metazoa; Chordata; Actinopteri; Salmoniformes; Salmonidae.